Molecule: long non-coding RNA, 996 nt
Filed under: Lactuca sativa (garden lettuce)
Lineage: Eukaryota; Viridiplantae; Streptophyta; Magnoliopsida; Asterales; Asteraceae
Description: long non-coding RNA (LSAT_LNC006270)
Source: RNAcentral
CCAUAAGCAUUUCUUUCUCUCUCUAACCUCCCUAAACCCCUCCCAAGUCUAGGGAGCCUCCCCAGCAUGAGAAGAAAGCCCCGAAGCGCCCGACGGCUCCGAGCAGAAAAGCUUUCGGCUCGGAAACGCUGCUCCAGCGAAGCCUGAUUUUUAAAAACCCGCUGUAAGUGAGCUACGCCUAUACUAUAUUUAAUAUAGCUUUUAUUUAAUUAUAGUAACAUUGUUAGGACCUUAAAAUAAUUAUUUGGGCUAUUGUUAAGAGUUAUAUUGAGUGUUAUUUAACGCUUAUAUAAUAGUAAUAAUAGUUAGACUAUUAAUUAGUCUCGAUGAAUAAUAGACUAAACUCGACUUGUAAUAAACAUCUUGAUUGUUUCUUCUAUGGGUCUCAAACUCGACUAGGACGAUUUCUUGGUGAGUGGACAGACCGUUGUUUUUAAUUUACACACAAAACCUUUAUUUAUUGGUUCUACUUGAUCUCAUACAGGCCCUUAUAAUUGAUGGAAAAAAUAGCUACACAUAGUUGGAAUCUGAUUUGAAGGAAAAGCUAAUGCAUGGAAGUUGUUUGAUGAAAUGUGUGAGAGAGAUCUGGUGUCUAAAACUCAAUGAUAUAUGGGUAUUUUCAUAUUGGUUUUUCUGGGUUCCUUUGGAAUUGUUUGAGCAGAUGGAAGGUGAAGGAUUUGAACUACAUGAGAAUGAAAACAUAUAUUAUGUUCUAUCAUUUUUAGACGUAAAUUAUAUUCUAUUUAACUAUAUUCAUUUGUGAAGAAAAAUAUAUUCAUUUGCGAAUAUAUGUAUUCAUUUGUGUAGAAUUGAUAAAAUUUACAUGAUUUUAUUUUCAAUUGAUGAAAAAACACUCGAUUCAUGUUUGUUUGUGUCUAGUUUUUGAAUACAAGUGUAUAUUCAUUUGUGAUUGUGAAUAUAAGUGUAUUAAAUUCGGAUGAAGUUGUAUAAGUUUUAUGAAGAAAAAAAAAUCAUUUUUGAAUACAAGUGGAUUCA